UUGGUGGUGAAUGCACAGAACAUCGUGGAGGCAGAGGGCGUUACCAAUUGCCACGUCUGUUCUCGUUUUCCUUCCGUUCAAAAUUCCCUCCGCCUAUUUCCUUUUCGUUUCCACCAUUAUCUCCUCUCUCAUUUCGUUUUUCCGGCUUCCACGCUUCAAUCUUCCCCCAAAAUCUAGGUAUCCGUCGUCUUCUUCACUCUCUAAACCAUGAAUAUCUUCAGGUUCGCCGGCGAUAUGACUCACUUGAUCAGUAUUUUAGUUCUUCUCCUCAAAAUCUAUGCAACCAAAUCCUGCUCGGGAAUUUCACUCAAGACUCAGGAGCUGUAUGCCCUUGUUUUUCUGACCCGGUAUUUGGAUCUAUUUACGGACUUCAUAUCUUUCUAUAAUACUGUGAUGAAGAUUAUUUUUAUAGCAAGCUCUCUGGCAAUUGUUUGGUGUAUGCGGGUUCAUCCAAUCGUGAGGCGGUCGUAUGAUAAAGAUCUCGAUACUUUUCGUUAUUAUUUUCUUGUUGCUGGAAGUUUGAUUCUCGCCCUUUUAGUGAAUGAGAAGUUCGGGUUUCAAGAGAUCUUUUGGGCGUUUUCUAUAUACUUGGAAGCGGUAGCAAUUCUUCCUCAAUUAGUCUUAUUGCAACGAAGUGGAAAUGUAGACAACUUAACUGGACAUUAUGUCUUCUUUCUUGGAGCUUAUCGUGCACUCUACAUUCUCAACUGGAUCUAUCGAUAUUUCACAGACAUACACUUCAAUCGGUGGAUAGCUUGCAUUGCUGGCCUGGUUCAGACAGCUUUAUAUGCUGAUUUCUUUUACUACUACUACAUUAGCUGGAGAAACAAUUCGAAGCUUCAGUUGCCAGCUUGAUUAAAGCUGGAAUCAGCGUAUGAUGUUAUGGAGCUUGAGAUCUAGUUAUGUUUUUACAUCAUGGUAGGUAAAUAUGGCUUGGGUGUGGGGAUAGAACACGUAAAUUCAAUCAUCACAAAUUCCUUCAUUUCCGGGUAGAGUACCUCAGUGUUAAAGUAUCAUCAGACAACUCUCUACUUUAAACUGCGGUCACUGCUUGUCAAAGACAAAGAAGAAUCAAUGUCUGAUUUGAAGAUAAGGCUGAUUCAAGUGUAUCAAAGGAAGAACGAACAAAUCUAAAAACGAAUCGUGUUGUGUUAAAAAGAAAGUUUCUGUAAAAGAUAACCUUGAAUCUUGGAAUGGUUGGUUGUGUAUUAAAUAACAAUGUAAGAGGUUAGUUGAAGUGAAAUAUUGUUACUGGGUGAUGCAUAUGAAAGGUGGUAUUGAUAUUGAAAA
Molecule: RNA transcript, 1290 nt
Organism: Cucumis melo (muskmelon)
Lineage: Eukaryota; Viridiplantae; Streptophyta; Magnoliopsida; Cucurbitales; Cucurbitaceae
Gene name: ER lumen protein-retaining receptor A
Exons: 7
Source: RefSeq, a predicted model, not a curated record